UACCGGUACAGCUCACUGAAAAUCUGCUAUUUCGCAGAUCUUCAAGAUACACGCUGCUCUCAAGUUCCCACAAGGCCCGUUUGGCGUCCACUUCGCGCCAACGCGACCCGGACUUGUCCCGACACUCUCCAGAGCUGUCGACAAGCCUCAGCUAAAAUUCCAGGUCUCUACAAUAGGUCUUACCUGGGAGCCCGUGCCUUGGUUUGCACAUAUGGAGUUUUGUCCCACAUUGGAAACCAAAGGCAUUCUACUACACUUUAUAUACUCUCUUAC
This 273-nucleotide long non-coding RNA is filed under the name Ananas comosus (pineapple). Its description in RNAcentral is "long non-coding RNA (ACOM_LNC031667)". Lineage: Eukaryota; Viridiplantae; Streptophyta; Magnoliopsida; Poales; Bromeliaceae. The record is from RNAcentral.